GAUGAACGCUGGCGGCGUGCCUAAUACAUGCAAGUCGAGCGAACAGACGAGGAGCUUGCUCCUCUGACGUUAGCGGCGGACGGGUGAGUAACACGUGGAUAACCUACCUAUAAGACUGGGAUAACUUCGGGAAACCGGAGCUAAUACCGGAUAAUAUAUUGAACCGCAUGGUUCAAUAGUGAAAGACGGUUUUGCUGUCACUUAUAGAUGGAUCCGCGCCGCAUUAGCUAGUUGGUAAGGUAACGGCUUACCAAGGCAACGAUGCGUAGCCGACCUGAGAGGGUGAUCAGCCACACUGGAACUGAGACACGGUCCAGACUCCUACGGGAGGCAGCAGUCGGGAAUCUUCCGCAAUGGGCGAAAGCCUGACGGAGCAACGCCGCGUGAGUGAUGAAGGUCUUCGGAUCGUAAAACUCUUUUAUUAGGGAAGAACAAAUGUGUAAGUAACUAUGCACGUCUUGACGGUACCCAAUCAGAAAGCCACGGCUAACUACGUG
This 497-nucleotide ribosomal RNA is filed under the name uncultured bacterium. Its description in RNAcentral is "partial 16S ribosomal RNA". It matches the Rfam family "Bacterial small subunit ribosomal RNA", at positions 28 to 507 of the family's 1533-position model. The record is from RNAcentral.